CGCCGCCGCGAAGAGCCAGACGCCUCGCGCCGCCCGCAGAGUAGGGGAUCCUGCUCGCUGCCUCCCCUGGAAACCUACCCAAGCGAUGGAGCAUGCGCAGGCAGCUCCUCCGCGGGCGAGCCCUCCGUGUGGUCCAUGGGGAGCGCUCCGGUUAUCCAGGUUUUGGGACGCGCCUUGAGGAACGGUCUUGAGCAGUGUGAAGAAGAAGAGGUGAGAACGACCCCCGGACCGACCAAAGCCCGCGCGCGCUUGAUCCCGCGUCCAGCACCUACGUCCCGCGGCCGUCGCCACCAUGCCCAAGAGAAAGGCUGAAGGGAAUGCUAAAGGAGAUAAAGCCAAGGUGAAGGACGAACCACAGAGAAGAUCCGCGAGGUUGUCUGCUAAACCUGCUCCUCCAAAGCCAGAGCCCAAGCCUAAAAAGGCCCCUGCAAAGAAGAGAGAGAAGGUACCCAAAGGGAAAAAGGGAAAAGCUGAUGCUGGCAAGGAGGGGAAUAACCCUGCAGAAAACGGAGAUGCCAAAACAGACCAGGCACAGAAAGCUGAAGGUGCUGGAGAUGCCAAGUGAAGUGUGUGCAUUUUUGAUAACUGUGUAUUUCUGGUGACUGUACAGUUUGAAAUACUAUUUUUUAUCAAGUUUUAUAAAAAUGCAGAAUUUUGUUUUACUUUUUUUUUUUUUUUUUUUUUUUUUUUUAAAGCUAUGUUGUUAGCACA
Rhinopithecus roxellana (golden snub-nosed monkey) is the source of this 711-nucleotide RNA transcript. It is a transcript of the gene named non-histone chromosomal protein HMG-17 pseudogene, with no coding region annotated. The record is from RefSeq and is a predicted model, not a curated record. NCBI's taxonomy places the organism in Eukaryota, Metazoa, Chordata, Mammalia, Primates, Cercopithecidae. The transcript has 2 exons.